This 274-nucleotide ribosomal RNA is filed under the name uncultured bacterium. RNAcentral describes it as "partial 16S ribosomal RNA". It matches the Rfam family "Bacterial small subunit ribosomal RNA", at positions 523 to 796 of the family's 1533-position model. The record is from RNAcentral.
AUACAGAGGGUGCAAGCGUUAUUCGGAAUUACUGGGCGUAAAGCGCGCGUAGGCGGAUGAUUAAGUCAGUUGUGGAAGCCCUGGGCUCAACCUAGGAACUGCAUCUGAUACUGGUCGUCUAGAGUUUAAGAGAGGGAAGUGGAAUUCCAGGUGUAGCAGUGAAAUGCGUAGAUAUCUGGAGGAACAUCAGUGGCGAAGGCGACUUCCUGGCUUAAAACUGACGCUGAGGUGCGAAAGCGUGGGUAGCGAACGGGAUUAGAUACCCUUGUAGUCC